CGCUGGCUGGCGCCCGGCGUGUCCGCGGCGCCCGAGGCGCUGCUGGCGCGGUUCCGCGAGCGGCCGGCGCCGUUCUGGGCGGCGUUCGACGACC
This 94-nucleotide transfer RNA is filed under the name Roseisolibacter agri. RNAcentral's name for it is "tRNA-Ser". Lineage: Bacteria; Pseudomonadati; Gemmatimonadota; Gemmatimonadia; Gemmatimonadales; Gemmatimonadaceae. The record is from RNAcentral.